GUGAGCGUAGCUCAGUCGGUUAGAGCGCCAGAUUGUGGAUCUGGAGGUCGCGGGUUCGAAUCCCGUCGCUCACC
RNAcentral lists this transfer RNA (74 nucleotides) under Gemmatimonadota bacterium. Its description in RNAcentral is "Gemmatimonadetes bacterium (sponge metagenome) tRNA-His". It matches the Rfam family "tRNA". From Rfam's summary of the family: Transfer RNA (tRNA) molecules are approximately 80 nucleotides in length. The record is from RNAcentral. Lineage: Bacteria; Pseudomonadati; Gemmatimonadota.